AAAGNGUCUGAGUUGCAUUCAGGAGAUGUAUAUUAGAAUUAUGCGGCCUUUC
This 52-nucleotide transfer RNA is filed under the name Bavayia robusta. Its description in RNAcentral is "partial tRNA-Ala". The record is from RNAcentral. Lineage: Eukaryota; Metazoa; Chordata; Lepidosauria; Squamata; Diplodactylidae.